UGGCGGACGGGGAGGUAAUGUCUGGGAAACGUGCCCGAUGGAGGGGGAUAACUACUGGAAACGGUAGCUAAUACCGCAUAACGUCGCAAGACCAAAGAGGGGGACCUUCGGGCCUCUUGCCAUCGGAUGUGCCCAGAUGGGAUUAGCUAGUAGGUGGGGUAAAGGCUCACCUAGGCGACGAUCCCUAGCUGGUCUGAGAGGAUGACCAGCCACACUGGAACUGAGACACGGUCCAG
RNAcentral lists this ribosomal RNA (236 nucleotides) under uncultured bacterium. RNAcentral's name for it is "partial 16S ribosomal RNA". It matches the Rfam family "Bacterial small subunit ribosomal RNA", at positions 96 to 334 of the family's 1533-position model. The record is from RNAcentral.